Acanthosepion pharaonis is the source of this 109-nucleotide non-coding RNA. NCBI's taxonomy places the organism in Eukaryota, Metazoa, Mollusca, Cephalopoda, Sepiida, Sepiidae. The record is from the annotation of a GenBank genome assembly.
UAGCCAUAUCAUGUUGAAAUACCAGUACUCAUACAAUCACCAAAGUUAAGCAACGUUAAGCCUGGUCAGUACCUAGAUGGGUUAAUGCUUAGGAAUACCAGGUGCUGUG